UUCUCUUCGGAAUUGCCUUAAAUAUUCUAGGUGCAAGAUUAGCAAUUUUCUACCCAUAAAUCCAUUUAUCAAUCUAGAACAAAGUGUGUGCCCAAUUCCCAACUUCCGAGAGCAGCACCACCGGGAAGAAAGCUCGUGCUUUUUGCCUGACACUUGGAUAGGUAAACUACACAAUGUCCAACUAAGCUCUUUGAGACCGGAGAUGCAAGUCUGUCCAUCUAGAGAGGUCUACAAACACUUCCUCAUGCAACGAAGCAGUGCCCUUUCGACUUCAUUUCACCAUAUAAGGUUAUGUUUGGAUACUCUUAUAUUUACUUCGAUACAUAUGGUUGGGGUGGAUUGAGGGCUCGUUCGUUUCACCGUUAAUACAUGUGGAUUGAAUGGUAUUGAGUCGGUUUAAAUACAUAGCAAGUUAAAAUACAUCUCAAUACAUUCUAAUCCACAUGAAUUAGAAUAACCGAAAUACAUUCUAAUCCACAUGGAAUUAGAAUAACCGAACAAGGCAUGAGAUAUAAAUCGGUUUAAUUUACAUCUUAAUCCCCCUCAACCCAUGAGUAUUGGGAUGAAUACCAAGCCCUAAAGAAAACUUAUUCUGAUUUUUAUCAAUAGUCUUGAUAGCCCAAGAGGGAAUAUUAAUAACUAUAGAAAGAUACAUAAGCAUCCCAUUAAGCACAUAAUGUUCUUGCACUCUCGUGAAUAUGAUUUCCAUCCGGAGAGUUGAUCUACAAUUCUAUCUACAAAAGGUUGUAACUGAACAGAACAGCCAAAGAGGGCAGCUAAGGCAGCCACAUAUUCGUCAGACAAGGGUUGAUGGAAAAGCUUAGCAUACUCUUCUUCUAAGGCAUGGCAACUGAUGCAUUCAUCAUCUUCAAUAACCCUCAGGGUCUUUUGGCUGCAGUUCGUUUUUGUUUCUUUUUCUAACUAUUUGUUGCUUGCAGCCACACCGAUCAUUCUAUCUAACGAAUGAUUUCACACACCAUACAGUCACGCCUAAAUGGCAGCAAGUGCAUAUAGUACGAAACUCUCAAACAAGACACAACAGAUACUAAAUCCAAAAGGCGACCAGCCAAGUGUCAAUUGUAUGCCUAUAACAAAUGAGGUCAGAUAUCAUCACUCUUCAUCUCAG
This 1126-nucleotide long non-coding RNA is filed under the name Zea mays. RNAcentral describes it as "long non-coding RNA (ZMAY_LNC002181)". The record is from RNAcentral. Lineage: Eukaryota; Viridiplantae; Streptophyta; Magnoliopsida; Poales; Poaceae.